Molecule: long non-coding RNA, 430 nt
Organism: Budorcas taxicolor (takin)
Lineage: Eukaryota; Metazoa; Chordata; Mammalia; Artiodactyla; Bovidae
Exons: 4
Source: RefSeq, a predicted model, not a curated record
UUUCCGCCGUCGCUGUGCGCGUGGAGGCGGUUCUUGCCCCUUUGUCCACGUUUCGUCGUGGAUCCCACGCCAUCUGCACGUAUCCGGGUUCCAUCCGCGGACAUCGGUAUCUUCCCGCACUGUUGGCUUUGUCUCCGCCGCUCUCCCGCGCCGUCUGGUCGUGGGGCACCCCGGGAGUGUCACGUGGCUGCUUUGGGUGAGAGGUGUCCUCGGGGAGAGCCAAGACUGAGACCCAGGUCACUGACACCAUCCCCCUGAGGAUACCCUGGAUCCAACUGGGGCUGGACUCUGUCCCUCAGGCACCUGGUUCCUCCACUGCUGCGACCACAAAAAAGAGAAAGGGCACUCCUCUGCCCCUGCCUCCGCCGCCCACCUGAAAAGUCCAUCAGACUCUAAGACAACCGGCAGCAGAGAUCCCAGAAGAACCACC